This 381-nucleotide ribosomal RNA is filed under the name uncultured eukaryote. Its description in RNAcentral is "partial 18S ribosomal RNA". It matches the Rfam family "Eukaryotic small subunit ribosomal RNA", at positions 592 to 976 of the family's 1831-position model. The record is from RNAcentral.
CAAUAGCGUAUAUUAAAGUUGUUGCGGUAAAAAAGCUCGUAGUUGGAUUUCUACCGAAGAUAGCCGGUCGGGUCUUCGACCUUGUAUCUGGUUUUGUCUUUGGUAUCCUCAUAGGGAACGUUUCUGCGCUUUAUUGCGUGGUGCGGUAUCUAUGACUUUUACUUUGAGGAAAUUAGAGUGUUCACGGCAGGCAAACGCCUUGAAUAUAUUAGCAUGGAAUAAUAACAUAGGAUCUUCGUCCUAUUUUGUUGGUUUCUAGGGCUAAGAUAAUGAUUAAUAGGGAUAAUUGGGGGCAUCUGUAUCAACGCGUCAGAGGUGGAAUUCUUGGAUUGCGUUGCGACAAACUACUGCGAAAGCAUUUGCCAAGGAUGUUUUCAUGGA